AGUGCCAUCGCGCGGAGAGGAGGGGGUGCGCUUCCGCGGGCGGGGCGCGGAGCCCGCCGUCUCGGAGGCCGCGGCUCGGCCCGGCACUGCGGAGGGCCGCUUGAUUUCCCGGAACCCAGGUCGCGCGGCUGCUAGGGCCGGAGCCGGUGGAUCCGAGCGGGUGCCACCAGCGGCGGCGCGCCGCCUCCCCCGGUGGGAGCGGUGGUUGGGCCAGGCUGCGGCAGAGCGUUCGCUCGGAGAUGGCGGAGCAGCCGCGACGCGGCCCGUGGCCCCGAAAGCAGGGAAGCCGGGCAGCCCCGGGACGCGGCGGAGCCCGGGGACAGCGGGGACGCCGCCCAGUCCUCCGGGUAUGAAGCUAAAAUGCAGCGGCUAAGAACGCGGCUCUGGAGCUUGACAGGCCUGACGUCGAAUCCCAGCCCUCCCACCAACUGAGCUGUGUGAUCCUGGGCAAGGUAGAGGGGAAGAGAUUGAACUUUGCUGACCUUUGAUGUGAGGCGCUCAGCCAGGGCCAAGGGGAGAGCCUGGCAAGAUUUGCAGCCUGAAGCCAUGGGCCAGGGGGCCAUGGUGACCUGAGACAAGUGGACUCUGUAUAGUUGCCCCCUGCUUCCCCUUCUACCUCCCCUACCCUAUGCUAAGGGGACUCGUCUCCACCUCGUAAAGGAAACUCCCCAAGGGAAUCCCUGUCCCCUAUUUUCCUAUCCUUCUACCCUUCCAAGACAGUCCUAGCCUAUAGAACUCCUACCUCCCAUCCCCUGAGGUGGUCCCCAUUCCUCCCUCCCUUCCUCCCCCCGCCAUGCUCCAGUUGUGGAAGGUGGUACGCCCAGCUCGGCAGCUGGAACUGCACCGCCUCAUACUGCUGCUGAUCGCUUUCAGCCUGGGCUCCAUGGGCUUCCUGGCUUAUUAUGUGUCCACCAGCCCUAAGGCCAAGGAACCCUUGCCCCUGCCCUUGGGAGACUGCAGCAGCGGUGGGGCAGCUGGUCCUGGCCCUGCACGGCCUCCAGUUCCACCUCGGCCCCCCAGGCCUCCAGAGACAGCUCGAACUGAACCCGUGGUCCUUGUGUUUGUGGAGAGUGCAUACUCACAGCUGGGGCAGGAAAUUGUGGCCAUCCUGGAGUCUAGUCGUUUUCGUUAUAGCACUGAGUUGGCACCUGGCCGAGGGGACAUGCCCACAUUGACUGAUAAUACCCAUGGCCGCUAUGUCUUGGUCAUUUAUGAGAACCUGCUCAAGUAUGUCAACCUGGAUGCCUGGAGUCGGGAACUGCUAGACCGGUACUGCGUGGAGUAUGGUGUGGGCAUCAUUGGCUUUUUCCGAGCCCACGAGCACAGCCUACUGAGCGCCCAGCUCAAGGGCUUUCCCCUUUUUUUACACUCAAACUUGGGGCUCCGGGACUACCAAGUGAAUCCUUCUGCCCCGCUACUGCAUCUCACACGCCCCAGCCGCCUAGAACCAGGGCCACUGCCUGGUGAUGACUGGACCAUCUUCCAAUCCAAUCAUAGUACAUAUGAACCAGUGCUUCUUGCCAGCCUUCGGCCAGCUGAGCCCGCAGUGCCAGGACCAGUUCUUCGUCGGGCCCGGCUUCCCACUGUGGUACAGGACCUGGGGCUUCAUGAUGGCAUCCAGCGGGUGCUCUUUGGACAUGGCCUUUCCUUCUGGCUCCACAAACUUAUCUUCGUUGAUGCUGUUGCAUACCUCACUGGCAAGCGCCUCUGCCUGGACCUUGACCGCUACAUCUUGGUAGACAUCGAUGACAUCUUUGUGGGCAAGGAAGGGACCCGCAUGAAGGUGGCUGAUGUUGAGGCUCUGUUGACCACCCAGAACAAACUCAGGACCUUAGUUCCCAACUUCACCUUCAACUUGGGCUUCUCGGGCAAGUUCUAUCAUACUGGGACAGAGGAGGAGGAUGCAGGGGACGACAUGCUGCUGAAGCACCGCAAAGAGUUCUGGUGGUUCCCCCACAUGUGGAGCCACAUGCAGCCACACCUGUUCCACAAUCGCUCCGUGCUGGCUGACCAGAUGAGGCUCAACAAACAGUUUGCUCUGGUCCUGGUGAGAGUCUAUGCCAUUCCCAGGAGCAUGGGAUUCCCACGGACCUGGGGUAUGCUGUGGCCCCCCACCACUCGGGUGUGUACCCCAUCCACACGCAGCUCUAUGAGGCCUGGAAAUCCGUGUGGGGCAUCCAGGUGACCAGCACUGAGGAGUAUCCCCAUCUCCGCCCUGCCCGCUACCGCCGUGGCUUCAUUCACAAUGGCAUUAUGGUGCUGCCCCGGCAGACAUGUGGCCUCUUCACUCACACAAUCUUCUAUAAUGAGUAUCCUGGAGGCUCUCGUGAACUAGACCGGAGCAUCCGAGGUGGAGAGCUCUUUCUGACAGUGCUGCUUAAUCCGAUCAGCAUCUUUAUGACCCAUCUGUCCAAUUAUGGAAAUGACCGGCUGGGCCUAUACACCUUUGAGAGCUUGGUGCGCUUCCUCCAGUGUUGGACACGGCUGCGCCUACAGACCCUUCCUCCUGUCCCACUUGCACAGAAGUACUUUGAACUUUUCCCUCAGGAGCGAAGCCCCCUUUGGCAGAAUCCCUGUGAUGACAAGAGGCACAAAGAUAUCUGGUCCAAGGAGAAAACCUGUGAUCGUCUCCCGAAGUUCCUCAUUGUGGGACCCCAGAAAACAGGGACUACAGCUAUUCACUUCUUCCUGAGCCUGCACCCAGCUGUAACUAGCAGCUUCCCUAGCCCCAGCACAUUUGAGGAGAUUCAGUUCUUCAACAGCCCUAAUUACCACAAGGGUAUUGACUGGUACAUGGAUUUCUUCCCUGUUCCUUCCAAUGCCAGCACUGAUUUCCUAUUUGAAAAAAGUGCCACCUACUUUGACUCUGAAGUUGUACCACGGCGGGGGGCUGCCCUCCUGCCACGAGCCAAGAUCAUCACAGUGCUCACCAACCCUGCUGACAGGGCCUACUCCUGGUACCAGCAUCAGCGAGCCCAUGGAGACCCAGUUGCUCUGAACUAUACCUUCUAUCAGGUGAUUUCAGCCUCCUCCCAGACCCCUCUGGCACUACGCUCCCUGCAGAACCGCUGUCUUGUCCCUGGCUACUAUUCUACCCAUCUACAACGCUGGCUGACUUACUACCCCUCUGGACAGUUGCUGAUUGUGGAUGGGCAAGAGCUGCGUACCAACCCAGCAGCCUCAAUGGAGAGCAUCCAGAAGUUCCUGGGUAUCACACCCUUUCUGAACUACACACGGACCCUCAGGUUUGAUGAUGAUAAGGGAUUUUGGUGCCAGGGACUUGAAGGUGGUAAGACUCGCUGUCUAGGCCGGAGCAAAGGCCGGAGGUAUCCAGAUAUGGACACUGAGUCCCGUCUUUUCCUUACGGAUUUUUUCCGGAACCAUAAUUUGGAGUUGUCGAAGCUGCUGAGCCGGCUUGGACAGCCAGUGCCCUCGUGGCUUCGGGAAGAACUGCAGCAUUCCAGUCUGGGCUGAUGUCCCAGCCUCCCAUACCAGCAAAAUGCCCCCUGCUUCCCUAAGGGGCAGGUCCAGAGCAGGGCCCACAAGGGGGAUUAGAGUGGCCUGGCCCCUCCCCCUCUACCUCAGUAGCCCCCAGGCCUGAGAUGGCUGAGAAGGGAAGGGUAUCCUUUUCCCACAGUUCUGGGACAAAUAAAGGGGCUUCCUUUGGUACCCCACAUAAUAGUGCUAGGUACCUUUGACCCAUCAUCUUGGGAGGUGGGGAGGAAUGAGAGGGUCCAGGCAGGGUGUAGGGGAAUGUAUUAGUCCAAUGAGAUUUCCCUCUUCAUCCGCAGCAGUGUAUCUAUUCUAUACCUGGCUAUGGGAGAGACCCCUUGCAUGGGAGGGACCCCUUGCUAUGGCCCCUUUAGCCAGGCAGUGGGAUCUACCUGUGGCCCGGCCUCCCUAAUGUCAUUCACAUUGAAUGGGGAUGAGGUCGGACAGUGGCUCAUAGAGCCGAGUAUGAGCCCUAGCUGUGGGCUAGAAAUGUCCUUAAUAAACAUCCUUAUUUUUC
This is an RNA transcript of Homo sapiens (human), 4009 nucleotides long. It is a transcript of the gene named N-deacetylase and N-sulfotransferase 2, with no coding region annotated. NCBI's taxonomy places the organism in Eukaryota, Metazoa, Chordata, Mammalia, Primates, Hominidae. The record is from RefSeq and is marked reviewed. The transcript has 15 exons.